UGAAAGGCGAAACGUAAUGUGAAUCGCAACUAACAGUGAAUCAUCAAAUCUUUGAACGCAGGCCGCACCUUGCAUAUCAUUUAUGAUAUUGCAAGGCAUCUAUGUAUGAGUGUCAGCCCCAAAAUCCUUGUGGUUUAAUAGUAAUAUUAUGUACUAUUGAAUCCAUCAUGUGCAAGUAUGUUUGAUACAUGCAUUUUAACGAAUGUGUCUGGCCUCAUAUGUGGAAGGUUACCCGCUGGAUUUAA
RNAcentral lists this unclassified non-coding RNA (245 nucleotides) under uncultured fungus. RNAcentral describes it as "sequence contains ITS1". The stretch from base 1 to 115 matches the Rfam family "5.8S ribosomal RNA", at positions 49 to 154 of the family's 154-position model. Lineage: Eukaryota; Fungi. The record is from RNAcentral.